This 62-nucleotide transfer RNA is filed under the name Acinetobacter defluvii. RNAcentral describes it as "tRNA-OTHER". It matches the Rfam family "tRNA". Rfam says of the family: Transfer RNA (tRNA) molecules are approximately 80 nucleotides in length. Lineage: Bacteria; Pseudomonadati; Pseudomonadota; Gammaproteobacteria; Moraxellales; Moraxellaceae. The record is from RNAcentral.
ACGCCAUUAGCUCAGUUGGUUAGAGUCUAGGUGCACAGGUUUAAGUCCUGUAUGGCGUGCCA